This 468-nucleotide ribosomal RNA is filed under the name uncultured bacterium. RNAcentral's name for it is "partial 16S ribosomal RNA". It matches the Rfam family "Bacterial small subunit ribosomal RNA", at positions 28 to 507 of the family's 1533-position model. The record is from RNAcentral.
GACGAACGCUGGCGGCGUGCUUAACACAUGCAAGUCGAACGGAAAGGCCCUGCUUUUGUGGGGUGCUCGAGUGGCGAACGGGUGAGUAACACGUGAGUAACCUGCCCUUGACUUUGGGAUAACUUCAGGAAACUGGGGCUAAUACCGGAUAGGAGCUCCUGCUGCAUGGUGGGGGUUGGAAAGUUUCGGCGGUUGGGGAUGGACUCGCGGCUUAUCAGCUUGUUGGUGGGGUAGUGGCUUACCAAGGCUUUGACGGGUAGCCGGCCUGGGAGGGUGACCGGCCACAUUGGGACUGAGAUACGGCCCAGACUCCUACGGGAGGCAGCAGUGGGGAAUAUUGCACAAUGGGCGGAAGCCUGAUGCAGCAGCGCCGCGUGCGGGAUGACGGCCUUCGGGUUGUAAACCGCUUUCGCCUGUGACGAAGCGUGAGUGACGGUAAUGGGUAAAGAAGCACCGGCUAGCUACGUG